RNAcentral lists this ribosomal RNA (301 nucleotides) under uncultured bacterium. Its description in RNAcentral is "partial 16S ribosomal RNA". It matches the Rfam family "Bacterial small subunit ribosomal RNA", at positions 509 to 809 of the family's 1533-position model. The record is from RNAcentral.
CAGUCGCCACGGGAAUACGAAGGGGGCUAGCGUUGCUCGGAAUUACUGGGCGUAAAGGGCGCGUAGGCGGACAGUUAAGUCAGAGGUGAAAGCCCAGGGCUCAACCCUGGAAUUGCCUUUGAUACUGGCUGUCUUGAGUAUGGGAGAGGUAAGCGGAACUCCGAGUGUAGAGGUGAAAUUCGUAGAUAUUCGGAAGAACACCAGUGGCGAAGGCGGCUUACUGGCCCAUUACUGACGCUGAGGCGCGAAAGCGUGGGGAGCAAACAGGAUUAGAUACCCGCGUAGUCCCUGUCUCUUAUAA